Phalaenopsis equestris is the source of this 477-nucleotide long non-coding RNA. RefSeq lists it as uncharacterized. NCBI's taxonomy places the organism in Eukaryota, Viridiplantae, Streptophyta, Magnoliopsida, Asparagales, Orchidaceae. The record is from RefSeq and is a predicted model, not a curated record. The transcript is spliced from 3 exons.
UUUGAUAAAUAGUGCUAGGGAGAAUUUUAUUCAACAAAUUCCAGGAUCAUUAAAAGGGCGCCUUAUAGAACUCUUAAAAACAUUUAGUCAAAGCAAUUCUUUGUUGGACGCUUGAAGUUUCAGCGGCAGUGCUAUGUUUUAUUGACUGCUGACGAGAUUAGUGUAAAUCUGUAAUUUUGAUAUCUUCAAAUUUCGAUGGCAUCCUUGCGGGAGCUUCUGGUUCAUUUGAGAAUCUUUUCUUCAUCAUUUUCUCUUCAUUCUUCGAGUUUUGAACAAUUGAGGGUGAAAAUUUUGCCAUCGGUUGAGACCAAGCACAGAAUUCUAUUCUAUUGUAAGAUAUCUCAUUUCUGAUGAUAUUAAUGAGCCUCAAUUAAGAGGGAAAUCUCUCCUUUCUUGUUUCUAAAAUUAUUGUUGCGUGUAGGUUCUUAAUGAAUUUAUGCCUUGAGUUAAUAUGAAUACAUAAUUGGCAUUUUUUCA